AAGUCGUAACAAGGUUUCCGUAGGUGAACCUGCGGAAGGAUCAUUAUUGAAUAAUAAACCUGAUGGGUUGCUGCUGGUUCUCUAGGGAGCAUGUGCACACUUGUCAUCUUUAUAUCUCCACCUGUGCACCUUUUGUAGACCUGAAAAUUCUUUCUGAAUGCGCCUAGCAUUCGGGUUUGAGGAUUGAUUUUUUACCUUUCCUUACACUUUCAGGUCUAUGUUUCUUCAUAUACCCAAUGUAUGUUAUAGAAUGUAAUAAACGGGCCUUUGUGCCUAUAAAUUUAUACAACUUUCAGCAACGGAUCUCUUGGCUCUC
This 316-nucleotide unclassified non-coding RNA is filed under the name air metagenome. Its description in RNAcentral is "partial contains small subunit ribosomal RNA, internal transcribed spacer 1, and 5.8S ribosomal RNA". The stretch from base 1 to 46 matches the Rfam family "Eukaryotic small subunit ribosomal RNA", at positions 1786 to 1831 of the family's 1831-position model. The record is from RNAcentral.